This 64-nucleotide transfer RNA is filed under the name Gyrinops versteegii. RNAcentral describes it as "partial tRNA-Phe". Lineage: Eukaryota; Viridiplantae; Streptophyta; Magnoliopsida; Malvales; Thymelaeaceae. The record is from RNAcentral.
CGGGAUAGCUCAGCUGGUAAAGCAGAGGACUGAAAAUCCUCGUGUCACAGAUUCAAAUAAAAAA